GGGUCCGUUUGGCCCGACUUUUUUUCUACUUUACUACUUCUUUUAAGUGGAAGUAGGGCCAAACAUAAUUUUAAUUAAGUUCUUAAAAUAAAAAGUGUCUUUUUUGUAGUGUUGAAAAUACAAUAUAAGUGACUUAAAAAAAAAGAAGAUAAAACCAACUUUAAACUAACUUAUACGGAGGUUUCACUCUCCAAGUCUGCUCAUCGAUUCCCGUGUGUGCC
Molecule: long non-coding RNA, 221 nt
Filed under: Trifolium pratense (red clover)
Lineage: Eukaryota; Viridiplantae; Streptophyta; Magnoliopsida; Fabales; Fabaceae
Description: long non-coding RNA (TPRA_LNC005393)
Source: RNAcentral